Molecule: long non-coding RNA, 332 nt
Organism: Hydra vulgaris (swiftwater hydra)
Lineage: Eukaryota; Metazoa; Cnidaria; Hydrozoa; Anthoathecata; Hydridae
Source: RefSeq, a predicted model, not a curated record
UGUUAUAGUAAAAAUGGCUGUUCACGUUUACUCAGUUGAUGAUGUGAAACAGUAUUUUUUUGAUGGAAUAAUUAAGUUUUUUAACUCACGGCGUAUAGCUUUCUUAAAAUAUGCAAAAAACUUUAAACUUUGUGAUGGUAAAUUGUACUACAUAAAAUCAUCUAAGAAGCUCCUAGUUCUUUUAACAGAUCAUGAAAAAAAGUUGGCUUUCAGAGAUGUCCAUGAUUCUGAUCAUGGGGCACAUGUUGGUCUCAACAAUACUAGAGCUAAACUAAAAAGUUCUUUUUACUGGCUAGGUAUGGUUAGCGAUAUUACCAAAUGGAUCAAGGGAU